RNAcentral lists this ribosomal RNA (224 nucleotides) under Salmonella enterica subsp. enterica serovar Lubbock. RNAcentral's name for it is "partial 23S ribosomal RNA". It matches the Rfam family "Bacterial large subunit ribosomal RNA", at positions 1124 to 1347 of the family's 2925-position model. Lineage: Bacteria; Pseudomonadati; Pseudomonadota; Gammaproteobacteria; Enterobacterales; Enterobacteriaceae. The record is from RNAcentral.
UAAAGAAAGCGUAAUAGCUCACUGGUCGAGUCGGCCUGCGCGGAAGAUGUAACGGGGCUAAACCAUGCACCGAAGCUGCGGCAGCGACACUGUGUGUUGUUGGGUAGGGGAGCGUUCUGUAAGCCUGUGAAGGUGGCCUGUGAGGGUUGCUGGAGGUAUCAGAAGUGCGAAUGCUGACAUAAGUAACGAUAAAGCGGGUGAAAAGCCCGCUCGCCGGAAGACCU